RNAcentral lists this ribosomal RNA (496 nucleotides) under uncultured bacterium. RNAcentral's name for it is "partial 16S ribosomal RNA". It matches the Rfam family "Bacterial small subunit ribosomal RNA", at positions 28 to 507 of the family's 1533-position model. The record is from RNAcentral.
GAUGAACGCUGGCGGCGUGCCUAAUACAUGCAAGUCGAGCGAACAGACGAGGAGCUUGCUCCUCUGACGUUAGCGGCGGACGGGUGAGUAACACGUGGAUAACCUACCUAUAAGACUGGGAUAACUUCGGGAAACCGGAGCUAAUACCGGAUAAAUUAUUGAACCGAUUGGUUCAUUGGUAAAAGACGGUUUUGUUGUAAUUAUUGGUGGAUUCGCGCCGGAUUUGCUAGGUGGUAAGGUAACGGCUUACCAAGGCAACGAAGGGUUGCCGACCUGAGAGGGUGAUCGGCCACACUGGAACUGAGACACGGUCCAGACUCCUACGGGAGGCAGCAGUAGGGAAUCUUCCGCAAUGGGCGAAAGCCUGACGGAGCAACGCCGCGUGAGUGAUGAAGGUCUUCGGAUCGUAAAACUCUGUUAUUAGGGAAGAACAAAUGUGUAAGUAACUAUGCACGUCUUGACGGUACCUAAUCAGAAAGCCACGGCUAACUACGUG